Molecule: long non-coding RNA, 3855 nt
Organism: Raphanus sativus (radish)
Lineage: Eukaryota; Viridiplantae; Streptophyta; Magnoliopsida; Brassicales; Brassicaceae
Exons: 5
Source: RefSeq, a predicted model, not a curated record
ACGGGGUUUCACUACCCAUUUACGUCCAAGCCCAUUUAAAUUUUCUGUCCAUUUAGAGCCCGUUUAAGUAAUAAUAUUAAAUGGGCUUCGCCGGGUUUGUCCACCUUUGUCCAUUUAAGUAACAGGUUUUAAUGAAAAUAAUUGGGCAGCCCGUUAAGCCCGUUUAACUUUUUUUCUCCUCUCCUGUAAACGACGUCGUUUCUGGUGUUACAUCUCUAACCUAUUUUUUUUGGGGAUCGUUCUUCACUUCUCUGCCUCCUUUCGAGAUAUCAAACUGCUCUUUCUAGAGUCGCUCUUCACUUCUCUGCCUCUUCUCGAGAUAUCAAACUAAUCUUUUUGGAAUCGUUCUUCUUCACUCUCUCUUCCUCGCAUCUAUUCACGGUCAAGGGGAGGGGAUGAUGGUUUUGUAGCCGUUCGUUUGUAGUGGAAGAAUCGGAGAGGAUCGUGGCUUCGAUCAUCUCAAGGGAUGGACUUUGAAUCUGUGCACACUAUGGCGCUUCUUGAAGCUCAACGUGAAUACAUGGAUAUAGGAAUGUCCAAACGGGCUACCCGGCCUGUUUACGUCCAAGCCCAUAUAUGUUCAAACUCAUUUAAUAGAUGUCCAUUUAAAGUCCGUUUAAACUAAACCCAUUUAAAACCCAUUUAUAUAAGCCCAUUUAACAUCAAACCCAUUUAACGCCCGUUAAAAGCCAUUUUACUUUAAAAAAAAAUGAACAUAACCUAUCUGCAUCAUAAAAUGAAUGAAACCCGAAACUUGUCAUAUAAAACAUAAUUGAAACAUGAACCUGUCAAACUACAUUGUUUGUUUCAGCUAAAAACUACACUGUUUUGUUUCAGCUAAAAACUCAAAGUUUACAAAUCACAAAUCACAACAUAACUCAAAUAUAAAGUUCUACUUCACAGCAAGUGUCCAUAAGUUACUCUUUUCCUUCUUGAACUACCAGGACCUGUCCAUGAUUAAAACAUAACCUAUCAGUCUAUCAUUAUAUAUUUUUAUCAAACUAUUUAUAAACUAAUGUAAAACAUAGCCAGAACAUUAUAUACCAUCCAUCAAGUAUAUCAUUUUUUUUAUGUGAAGACUCCACUCCAGAACUACUUGCUUUCUUCUUAUCAUCUUCAUUUUAAUCAAAAAGAUCUUCAAUGGCACCUAUAAAUCAUUAUAUGAAUUAGUUUUAAGAAAAAUAUUAGUCAUAAAAUUACUUUAAGCUUUACCUUUGUACUCUGCAAAACCGCAACCAAUUCCUAGUGCAAAGAAGAGCUUGGACAUUUUUAGGCAAGAGACGGUUUCGGUAAGGAGUUAAAACCCGGGAUCCAAUGCUAAAAGCAGACUCAGAAGCUAUGGUGGUGAUCGGAAUGCUGUGGAUGUCACGUGCCAUAGAUGCUAAAUCUCCAAACCGGUGUUGAUUCUCUUUCCAAUAGUUCAAGACAUCGCCAAAUCCUUGUUAACCCUUCUAUUUAGCCUUGGCUCUCCCAAAUAGAUGUCCAAAUGUAUCUUUGGGUCGCUAGCUCCACCUCCAAUGCUCUUUUCCAACUCAAAGAAAUCCUUCAAUAUGAAAACUUAUCAGAUAAACAAUUUCAAGAUAAUGAAUACUAAGAUUAUUUAAAAUUAUGUUAAUUUACUUACAUUAUCAUAGUCAUCUUCAAGUGGAGAUUCUGUGACUAUCUCUUGUGGAGUUGGAGUAAGUGAAACACCUAAAGAACUUGGCUGAGACCGUUUCUGAUAGUCUUUGUAGAGUGAAGACAAACUUUCCUUGAGUUCUUCAAUCUUUGAACUUGAAGUAGAAGGAUCCAAUUCAUUAUAGGCAGCUUCAAGCAUUUCAAUCUUUAUUCUUGGAUCUAAAACUACUGCCAUAGCCAAGAUUACACUGUAACUUUUCCAGUAUUUAUCAAACUUAACUUGCAUGUCUCUAGCCAUUUCUCUCACUCCAUCAUCAUCACAAACUGCAUAUGUCUUCAAUAACAGCUGUAUUCUCCAUACUUGGGUGAAGUAGACAUUAGAAGUAGGAUAUUUUGAACCCGAAAAGUAAGUUGUAAUAGCACUGAAUGGCUUCAGAAAGGCACAUAUUAUUUCCCCCUGAAGUAUAAGACGUUGAUCGGUAUAUUUGACUUGGCACAUCUUUUUUCUAAAUAAAGUAAUUAUAAAUUGUUAACAUAAUUAAAACAAAACUUUUUACUUCCGACAAAUUUCAAAAUAAUAAAAAAUGUAGACCCACCUGAUGCUGACGUGGCAACAAGGGAGAGCCCAAACUCCCUCAUUAAUGGGAUUUGUGUUGUUUUGUGCUUGGCCUUUUUGAUCGGUAUAUUUGACUUGGCACAUCUUUUUUCUAAAUAAAGUAAUUAUAAAUUGUUAACAUAAUUAAAACAAAACUUUUUACUUCCGACAAAUUUCAAAAUAAUAAAAAAUGUUGGACACACCUGAUGCUGACGUGGAAACAAGGGAGAGCCCCAACUCCCUCAUUAUAAUAUAGAUUCAUCGACAUACAAAACUUCAAAUCUAAUUAUUAGAAACACCAAAAAUUUACAAAACGCCCGCUCCAGAGGUUUCAGAAACUUCUCACUCUAAUCAUAUAUAAAUGCUAUCACAUCCCAUCAACAGAUUGUGUAGGAAGAAGAAGUCAAUCGAGUAUAUAUCAUGUUAAGAAGUGUUGAAAAGUCGUAGAAGAGCAAGAUUCUUCAUGAGGUCAAGAUCCUUCAGUCGCUAAUCAUCCAAAGUACUCAAGUUCUGCAUAUGGUAAAGACUUAGAGAUUAUCUAGACAAUUAUCUGAUUUAAUUGUUAUCUUUGUGCUCAGGUAAAAAAAUUCUUCUCACAUGUGGUUAGUCCUGGAAUAUUGUGUUCGAGCUGAUCUAGUACAUUGUUACAUCAUGUAUUGAUUGUUCUUAUUUUUGUUAGUUAACAGGUUUUCUGAAAUUCACUUCUUUUGCAGGACUCUAAUUUGCCAAAAGAUUUAGCAUAUGUUGUGCCUGUGAUGUUGUCGUAGCCUUGCUGUAAUAUCUUAAAAAAAUUAUACUUAGAUUAGGACGAACAGGUAAUGCUGUGUUUUCAACCUUUUCAGGCUUUCUAAAUCAGUGUCACUAAUUCCCACUCUUACAUGAGAACUUUAAGAAACAGGACCUGAUGGCCUCGACAUAACACUUUGUGCUUUUAGCAGCCUUUCUAUCUUUGUUUUAGUUUGAUCUUCAAGACUUAUUAACUUAUGAUAUCUCUAUUUUAAAUCUCAACAAAAAAUUUCCGAGUGUAUCUAGAGAAUUGAGAGAUGCAUUGGUUAGGAACAUUAGGAGAAGAAGGACACCACAACCACUGAAGAUUCGUCCUAAUAUUGAGUUACUUGUGGUUUCAGGUUUAUGAAGUUCUACACAUCAAGGUGUCUGGCUGUAACAAUAUAGUUGCAGGAAGCCAUGAAGAAUGCAGUGAUGGCUGUCUGGUCAAUAUCAAGUGUGUUUAUCCACCACUUUACAUUUUAACAGCGCAGACCCUUGACAAUUACUCUGUUGGAUUUGUCCAUUUUUGGUGCGGAUGAAGGUAAAAGCUACAACGAGAAUCACGUAGUGAUAAUGAAAGCAAAUCCUUGGUUCAGCUCUUGCGUGUAACAAUCACAAAUAAAUCUGGUGCCCUAUGAGUUUUACAAUCAAAGCAUACGUUGCUGCAAUAGAGAAAGAAAAGGGGAGAUGAGGGAAGUGAAGAAGACACUGAAAUGGAAGAAGUUGAAAUUGAUGGAGGUAGCUUAUUUAAUGAAUGACCAAAAGCCGAAGUAUGUCAAUAGUUUUGUUUUCUUCUGCGCAAAGCAUCUGUUUGUCCCAAGAGGGUUUUAUAGUAACAGAAACAUAUCUUAUACAAAACAAGUUUUUCACAUGGA